Long non-coding RNA from Bubalus bubalis (water buffalo), 1546 nucleotides. RefSeq lists it as uncharacterized. The transcript has 3 exons. NCBI's taxonomy places the organism in Eukaryota, Metazoa, Chordata, Mammalia, Artiodactyla, Bovidae. The record is from RefSeq and is a predicted model, not a curated record.
GUGACGUAUAGCCCAGGAAGAAGUUAACUUCCGGAUCGAGAUUAAAAGGCCAUCCGUGGCUUGAAAAGGAAAACAGCUUAUGUUUCUGGAGGGAAGGAAAGAAAGAACCGAACGACGUUUUAGCCCAAGUCGCUUGAUAUGCCUUGCCACUGGAGAAGUGUUUGUUUGGGGCUCCGAAAGUGACGGCCGAGGAACAGCCUUGGAAAGUCCUCGUAGGGCGACAACUCCCGCCGAUGCAAGACUUGAUGAGACCAGUUUCUACGCAAGAGCUUGACCUGUUCCAGGUCCGGAGAAACUCAGUGUGACACGCUUGCUUCCCGACCUUCCUGGUCACUCUCAGAUAUUCCUGAUUGAAAGUCUCCGUGGCGUCCAUUGCCAGGCCUUGUCUGCUCUUGGGGAAGAUGCUCUUCUGUACCCACCAGAUCAGUAUCAGAAAAAACAAGAGCAGCUGAAGACAAACACAAUUUUCCUGAGGCAACAAAAAAAGAAAAGAAUGAGUGGUUGAAGUACCACUCAACUUCAAAUGUAAUAUGUAAUUAACAACUUCAAAUGUUCUGAGGAAAGGACCAGAGAGGAACCAAAAGAACUGGACCCCAUGUUUGCAUAAAGGGGUCCAUAUUGUGACCUGAUGAAUUCAAAUGCUUACCUUCCUGCAGAUCAUUUGCAAAGUUCAUUUAACUUCAUUCAAAAUGACAGGUUAAAAAAUGUUCUUUUUAAUACCUCUAAACCCACCACCCAUAAGAAUCAUAAGAUAAACAGUACAAAACACAUCAAUUCACACCGUGCUUCUCUACCCUGUCCUCCACGUGGCCCACUGGUAACCACAAACCUUUUGUCCACAUCAUAGAAAGGGUACUGUAAAGUAUACAGUCUUUCUGAGACAUUUCCCCAUUCAGCAUUUUUAGUAAUAUUCAGUCUUGUAGUAUAUCCCAGUUCAAAUUGGAAGUAGCUUUGCUGAAUCCAAAGAGGUUGCUUACCGCUGCUCCAGCUGCUGCUGUUAAUAAAAAUUCAUUAAGAUGCUGCUCCUAUUAGCACUGAGUCUACUGGAGAUAAAGCAGACCCAGUGUGAGACCUUUUGUUAGCCUGGAGACAGCUCCGUCAGUCAAGCAGCAAGGAUCAGGGAAUCUUUCCUAGGGGCACAUUUUCUUGGGACUGGUACCAAACAAGGUGCCCUCUUUAUGGGCUCUUAUUCUUCCUCCUUGUCCCAAUGGACUAUAUUAAGUGAAACUGAAAUGCGAUUCUGACUGGGUCUCUUUACGCAGUUUUCCAGUUGCGAAUUCUUGAAUCUAGAAUAGACAGACUUACUGUUAAAGGCAGGUAUCCCAGGUCAACAGACUGGCAUCCCAAGGCCUCAGUCUCUACCUUUCCAUGCAGAAAAGCAUAAUCCAUAGAUAUUGUGAGGCAGGAUAUGAUGUACAUGGACAUGUAUUUCACCUCGGUCUGAAUCCUGGCCCUGUUGCUUCAUAACUGUACAACUUGGAUAAAUCACUACCCUCUCUAUGCUUCAAUUUUCUUGUGUAAAAUAAAGGCAACAGUAUCCACUUUA